CUUUGCUACUUGAAUCACUUGUAGAAUUUACAUGUUUCUCUACUCUUUCCACACUAUGACUGCAGAUCCAAUAUAAUAUAUGAACAGAUCCAAUGCAGUGACUGCAGACCUGUCACAUAAAACAAACCAUACUUGGUAUUCAGUACAUUUUUUUCUGAUAAAAAAAAAACAUUAUGGUCUCAAACAACAUACUUGUAAACCAUUUCUUCUGAAAUUCUUUUUCAGGUUAUAUAAUGAAUAAAAAACUCUAAUUUCUAACAAAUUUUCAUAUGGACUUGCUAAACUUUUUUAUUUCUCGCAAAGAUAUAUAUGGAAAAUUACAAAUCAACGAGAUGACAAAUAAGUAGAUCAAACAAAUGUGAGAACAGCGGAGACAAAGCUCUAGAAUGAGAGGCUAAAAAUAAAUAUUUUUAUUUUUCCAUUCAAUAAAAUAUAUAAUCACAAAUAAUAGUAUAUUACUAUUAAUACAUUUUAAGUUUUCGAGGAGUCAUAGCCUUGGAUAUCCCUUUACUCUCAGAUUUUUUUUUUAUAAUAGUGUAAUAUGCUUUUGAGUUUUUGAAAAUCGACAAAUUAAAAUUUUAUUGUUGAAUUGGACAAAUUGUAUAUUGGAAGUGAGUUAAUUUUGAAAAAAAUCAUAUUAUAUGAUGGUGAGUUUCAACAUUUUCAAAGAAUCAUAUUCUUCACAUAACAUUUGUAAACUUUUUGCAAUCAAAUUUUUAAAGCAUAUUGUAUUUAGAAAAUAUGAUUUUAAUUAAUAUAAAAAAAUUAAAUUUGCUAUAUCCUGCACUUCAUAUCUAAUUACAUGCAACCAGAUUUCCCUUCAAAUAUACUCAUUUCAAAGGUAUUUAAUAGUUUUCCAAGUGCUAGCCAAAAGUGUGAUAUAUUUCAAAAAAAAAAGAAAAAAAAAAGGUAUCAUAUGUUAUUGAUUCAAGUACAAAUAUGUGGAUUAAAGAUAUUGAAAUUAAUUUAAUAAAAAAAUAAAGAGAUUUAAAAGGAUAAUUUACCUUCUAUGAGAUACAAAUUUUUUAAAUUUUGACCUAAAAUUAUAAAUUAUAUUUUAUUUAAUUUUAAAAUUUUAAAACUUAAAAUAAAAAAGUGAGUCACUCUUUUGAAUACCAAAUUUAAGUAUUGAGCAACCAAAUGAAAGUAAACAAAAAAUUAAUGGAUUAUUCUUUUAGUGCCCUUUUAUAUUGACGAAUAAUUAAUAUUUAGUCUUAUCUUAGUGUCAUGUCACAUAGUGAGCUUUACUUUUAAAACUUUCAAAUUAUUCUUAUCCUAGGGAGUAGACCUAACUCCUAACAGUCCUUUUUGCAAUAUUUUAUUUAUGUAUUUUACAUUUGAUUAUAAUAUAAAUAUAGUUUAAUUUUGUCAAAAUAUUUUAUUUUACCGUAAUAUAACUCUUAUAAAAUAUUUAUUUAAUUUUUAAUUUUCAUAUUAUUUAAUAAUAUUUAAUAUAGUAAUGUGUGAAAAUUCUAGAAGACGUGUUCGAAUACCGAAUGAAGGUUUUCAGAAAAAUUUUUGGCAUUCAAAUAUAUUAAUAUAAGAAAAUAUUAUGAAUUUUAAUGUGAAAGAAAAAUGGUCCUUUAAGUUAUGAAACUAUACUCCUUUGGAUCGAAAUCUUCUUUUAUAUAAUUUUUAGCCUUUGGAAUAAAGGAUGUCAGCAGAAAAUAACAUUUUAUUGAUUUAUUGAUUAAAUUAUCAAUUUAAAAUAUUUAUAAUUAAAUUAACAAUUAUGAUAUAUUAGAAAAGAGACGUGUCCAGUUUUAUCUAAAAAUAGAUUACUUAUAGUUUAUUGUAGUAUAAACGAUGUUUCAUUUAAUAUUAAAACCUUAAAAUAGAUUUAUAUUAAUGUCCAUAUUUUUUUAACCAGUAUUGAUUUUAUUUCAUGUAUUAUUUAUUAUAGUCAACCUUAGUAUAUCUUCUUCUUGGUUUCAUUAAUUAAAAUAGGUUUUAAUAUAAAGAAUUUUUAGCACAUGAGUUUAAAAAGUUGUUAAGAUAUUUUGAACAUACAUUGAGAAUAAUAGUAAUACCUUGUUCAACUAUAAUUAAGAUAUUUUAUUAACUAAUAUGAUUUUUAUUAACUUUUUAAAAUAGUUGUAAAUUAAUUAUCUAAUGAUAAAAAAAAAUCCAUUAAUUAAUUCUUAAAAAUAUCAAGUUAUCCACAGAAUAAUUUUGUUGAAAUCUUAAUAGGAAAUAUUAGUUAAUCAAUACCCAUAUGUAUUAACAUAUGAAAUCUAAUUUUGGUUUGCAUCACUUGAAAGUUCAUUUUUCCUUCUUAAAAAAAUAAUUAUUCAAAAAUAUAACAAUGACAGACUGUCGAAAUUAUGUAAGUACACUGGAGAAAAUUAAUGAUUAAAAAUAAUUCUGUUGAAGAAGAGAGGGGGAUUUUUUUUCAACCACACGUAAUUGCAAAAUCUAUUACUUUAAGGUAAAAAAAAUCUGUUUUUUAAUCUGCAAUUUUAUCAUCAUUAAUUAAACUCGUAUUUAGUGGCCCCUCAUGUUUUGAAAAUUUACUUAAUAGAAAAAUAUGCGUGUACUUGUCAUCGUUGUGAUUACUAUUAAUUAUUGCUAGCUAAUAAUAUUCUAUAUUUCUAUCAUAUGUUUUUUAAGGUAAAUUAACUUGUUACAAAAAUUAGUCAAGCGAUUGUCAUAAAUUUUAAAAAAAGUUAAUAUUAUGACUGUUUAAACUUUUUUUUCCUUUCCAUUUUACAAUUCCGUGACAAGUUUUCUUUUGGGGUCAAACUUUUUUUGCCUAAAUAAUAUUAAAAAUAUUAAUAGUAAUUUCUUGCAAUGAAUUAGAUAUUUAAGAUCUGUACAUGGUGACAAAUGUAUAAGCUCCUUCAUUAUAGACAACAUUUCAGAGAAGUAAUUGUAAUGAAAUAAAUUACAUUUUUCUUUUCCUGUUACCUUAUAUUCUGAGUGUCUGCAGUUUGGUUUAUCAUAUUAAGAAAAGUGCACCUUUUUUUUAAGUUUUCUCUGACUAAGAAGAAGGAAUUAACAUUUUUUAACAAAUAUUCUCUUAUACAUUGAAUUAAGAGUGAAACAGAUAUAAUUUAUCAAUCACUAAUUGAGUUCUAUUUUUUUAAUAAAAAAAUAUAUAUAAAUAAAAGAACAUAUAGGUAUACAAAAUUCUAUAAAAAAAAAUCCUUAUAAAAGAAAAGAAAAAAGACCAUUUUUUAUAGUUUUCGUAAAGUUUCGAGAUGAGCAACUAACAAUAAUCUGAAUAGAUCCUUGCAACUAUCACAUAAAACAUAAAAUUUCAAUAAAGAAAUCUUUCACCUUUAUGUAUUAAAACUAGCAUAUCCUCAAUGUGUCUAAAUAAGUAAAAUUGUUAACCUAAUGAAAAAAUAUUUUAGGGUUUAAAUAAAUUAUUGGUUUUUAAAUUAGUUUUUAUUAUUGUUAAAUAAUUUCUAAAUUGGUAUCUAAUUGGUACCAAAUUUAGAAAUUAAAUAAUUGGUAGUUAAAGCCUCAGUAACUAAUUAGAUAUUAAUUUAAAAACUAUUUAACAAUAAUAGAAACUAAUUUAGAACCAUUUUUUUUUUUAAUUUCUAAAAUAGUCUCUAAUUUAGUUACUAUUACAACUAAUUAUUUUAUUUUCUAAAAAUUGAUUUCUAUUUAAUGAUUUUAUUGUAGUGUACAUUAUAUAGUCCAUGUCCAAAUUGAGAACACAUUAUUUUUGUGUAACUAAUUAAAGUUGUAGGAUGAAAUCAUGAUUUUAUAAAAAACCACUCACCAAGAUAAAUUUCAUUAAGAAUGAUUUUCCUUGAUUACAUUUACUCUAAAUGAGAAAAAAAAACAAUUUCAACAUUAGGGCAAACUGAAACAGAUACAUUAUACUAUGACCUUUAAACUUGUGGUUUAAACUCAAGUGAACACUUUAUAAUUUGAGAGGAAGGAAGAGCUAUAUGAUAAACACAAUUACAGUGAUGUUGGACGAGGUAAUGAAGCAUACCAAACAACAUAGUAGUGUGAAGAGGUUGGAGUUUGUACGUAUUGAGUACCUUAAUGAGAGGAGAGAGUGAGAAUGAGAGAGAGACAAGGAGUGUCAGGAAACGAAUCUACGUGCAAGAUACCCCUGUCGGUGACUGAACCAGCAAAUUGUCAAAGUAGUUUUGGUCCCAUUUCACUCACACGCAUCAUGUCCAUCUUCAUAAACCAUUUACCUAUUUACUUCUCCAUCUUUUGAAAUAUGUAUAUGUUGUCUUCUCUUCCUUUGGACCAAACACAUACACUUCCCCACUUCAUCACUCUUCCACCAACACCAACACCAACACCAACUUUCAUUUAACCCCAAAUGCAUACCUAGGCCCUGCUGUACUUUUUCUCUGCAACUCAAAAAUCUCCACCUCCUCUGUUGCUUUUUGUUUCCUUAUAUCUCAUUUUACCACUUUUUCUUUCAUUCUGCACUUUCCAAUCUCCACAUGCACACCAUGGUGUGUGUCACCCUAUACGUUAGUUUCUUCAUCUGAACCUUACCUUAGUCAAAAAAUUCAGCUUCAAGUUCAUCUCUACCAAAUGUAACUUCAUCUUAAUCUGUUCAGGUGAGUUAUACUGAUGUAAGAGUGAGUUUAUAUACUCACUUAAAAAGGGAAAGAAUGCGAAGAGAAAAAUCUACAAUUAUAAAUGAAUGACUGAAAUUAAAUUAUAGAGUUAUUUGACUGUUUUAAAGUGGUUAAUUACCUGAUCAUUUAAAAAAUAGAUUUAGAAUUUUGUGUAUUCAAC
RNAcentral lists this long non-coding RNA (4722 nucleotides) under Phaseolus vulgaris (common bean). Its description in RNAcentral is "long non-coding RNA (PVUL_LNC001906)". Lineage: Eukaryota; Viridiplantae; Streptophyta; Magnoliopsida; Fabales; Fabaceae. The record is from RNAcentral.